CAGUAGCCGCGGUAAUACGGAGGGUGCAAGCGUUAAUCGGAAUUACUGGGCGUAAAGCGUGCGUAGGCGGUUCGUUAAGUCUGUUGUGAAAGCCCCGGGCUCAACCUGGGAAUGGCAAUGGAUACUGGCGAGCUAGAGUGUGUCAGAGGAUGGUGGAAUUCCCGGUGUAGCGGUGAAAUGCGUAGAGAUCGGGAGGAACAUCAGUGGCGAAGGCGGCCAUCUGGGACAACACUGACGCUGAGGCACGAAAGCGUGGGGAGCAAACAGGAUUAGAGACCCCCGUAGUCCCUGUCUCUUAUAC
RNAcentral lists this ribosomal RNA (301 nucleotides) under uncultured bacterium. RNAcentral describes it as "partial 16S ribosomal RNA". It matches the Rfam family "Bacterial small subunit ribosomal RNA", at positions 509 to 807 of the family's 1533-position model. The record is from RNAcentral.